Small nuclear RNA from Plasmopara halstedii, 161 nucleotides. It matches the Rfam family "U1 spliceosomal RNA". From Rfam's summary of the family: U1 is a small nuclear RNA (snRNA) component of the spliceosome (involved in pre-mRNA splicing). Its 5' end forms complementary base pairs with the 5' splice junction, thus defining the 5' donor site of an intron. Lineage: Eukaryota; Oomycota; Peronosporomycetes; Peronosporales; Peronosporaceae. The record is from Rfam.
AUACUUACCUGACUGGUGCUCGACGUUGCUCAACAAGGACGUUGACAUGAGCCGGAGCAGGCCCCUUGCACUCCGGUGCUGUAAGGGUUCAGGAAUGCUCUUAUGAGUAAUUCUACAGUAGAAUUUUUGAUAGCGGGGGUGAGCGCGUGCGCCGCCCCCAC